AGAGUUUGAUCCUGGCUCAGGAUGAACGCUAGCGACAGGCCUAACACAUGCAAGUCGAGGGGCAUCGGGGCGAGGAGCAAUCCUUGCCGCCGGCGACCGGCGCACGGGUGAGUAACGCGUAUGCGACCUGCCCGUUGCAGGGGGAUAAUCGGGAGAAAUCCCGUCUAAUACCGCGUAAUGCCGCGGGGCUGCAUGGCCCUGCGGCCAAAGGGAGCGAUUCCGGCAACGGAUGGGCAUGCGUGACAUUAGCUAGUUGGCGGGGCAACGGCCCACCAAGGCGACGAUGUCUAGGGGUUCUGAGAGGAAGGUCCCCCACACUGGUACUGAGACACGGACCAGACUCCUACGGGAGGCAGCAGUGAGGAAUAUUGGUCAAUGGGCGCGAGCCUGAACCAGCCAAGUCGCGUGAGGGAUGACGGCCCUAUGGGUUGUAAACCUCUUUUAUAAGGGAAUAAAAUACGGGACGUGUCCUGUUUUGCAUGUACCUUAUGAAUAAGGACCGGCUAAUUCCGUGCCAGCAGCCGCGGUAAUACGGAAGGUCCGGGCGUUAUCCGGAUUUAUUGGGUUUAAAGGGAGCGCAGGCGGUCUUAUAAGCGUGACGUGAAAUGCAGCGGCUCAACCGUAUGAUGUGCGUCGCGAACUGUGAGACUUGAGUGUAUUCGAUGUCAGCGGAAUUUGUGGUGUAGCGGUGAAAUGCUUAGAUAUCACGAAGAACUCCGAUUGCGAAGGCAGCUGACAAGGCUACAACUGACGCUAAAGCUCGAAAGUGCGGGUAUCGAACAGGAUUAGAUACCCUGGUAGUCCGCACGGUAAACGAUGGAUGCCCGGUGUUUGCGAUAUACAGUGAGCGCCCAAGCGAAAGCGUUAAGCAUCCCACCUGGGGAGUACGCCGGCAACGGUGAAACUCAAAGGAAUUGACGGGGGCCCGCACAAGCGGAGGAACAUGUGGUUUAAUUCGAUGAUACGCGAGGAACCUUACCCGGGCUUGAACUGUAGGCGAACGAUCCAGAGAUGGUGAGGCCCUUCGGGGCGCCUAUGGAGGUGCUGCAUGGUUGUCGUCAGCUCGUGCCGUGAGGUGUCGGCUUAAGUGCCAUAACGAGCGCAACCCCUCUCUUCAGUUGCCAUCAGGUUAUGCUGGGCACUCUGGAGACACUGCCACCGUAAGGUGUGAGGAAGGUGGGGAUGACGUCAAAUCAGCACGGCCCUUACGUCCGGGGCUACACACGUGUUACAAUGGGUGGUACAGAGAGUUGGGUGUACGCAAGUGCAUUCUAAUCAAGAAAGCCAUCCUCAGUUCGGACUGGGGUCUGCAACCCGACCCCACGAAGCUGGAUUCGCUAGUAAUCGCGCAUCAGCCAUGGCGCGGUGAAUACGUUCCCGGGCCUUGCACACACCGCCCGU
Molecule: ribosomal RNA, 1401 nt
Filed under: uncultured bacterium
Lineage: Bacteria
Description: bacterial SSU rRNA
Rfam family: Bacterial small subunit ribosomal RNA
Source: RNAcentral